This is a non-coding RNA of Lupinus albus (white lupine), 627 nucleotides long. The record is from the annotation of a GenBank genome assembly. Lineage: Eukaryota; Viridiplantae; Streptophyta; Magnoliopsida; Fabales; Fabaceae.
GUUUUAUUUUAUAUUUUUGUUUGGUCGAGUAGGGAAAAAGAAAAAGUAACUGCGCCAUGUGAAAGUAGUGCAACCAUUGUUAAACAUUGACGUUAUGAUUGAACAUUGGUCGGUGAAAGUGGUGCACUCAUUGACUAUUUUUUUUACUUUUGUUCCCCUCUAGCUUGUCCUUGCAUUGGGGUCCCACCAAAACCUAAAUUUUAUUGGACUACAACGAAUAGAUGAUAAAUCAUGGUGUCAUUUUGUUCAAAUUCUUGCACUAAAAAUCAUUUUAGUGAAUCUAACACCAUUGCCGAAUAAUUUUACAAAUAAAAACAACAACACCAGACAAAAAGGAGUGAUGCCAAAGUUGAAUAAUGCACUUAAAGAACCAUUUUAAUGUUGUGUCACGUGCCGGAUCAUAUUGCAUGUGUAUUCUUUGUGUGGAUUUGAGAGUUGAGUUUUAGAGUGAAGAUAAACGGAAGAUGACAUGUCACAAGUAUAUUUCAUGGUCAUGAACUCUUUCUUUUUCCUUCAUUUCUCUCCAAAACCAACUAGAGUCCUUUUGCGAGUUGAGUUUUAAAGUCAGUAUAUGAUGUCGAGGCUUGAGUGGGAAAAGAAUCAAGUUGCAGAUGCAAAAACAGUUUU